RNAcentral lists this long non-coding RNA (1035 nucleotides) under Heterocephalus glaber (naked mole-rat). RNAcentral describes it as "lncRNA (ENSHGLG00100035884.1)". Lineage: Eukaryota; Metazoa; Chordata; Mammalia; Rodentia; Bathyergidae. The record is from RNAcentral.
CUGCACCAAAGGUGGUCCCUGUGGAACCAUGCCUCCUGGUGUUCCUGCUUUUUCAGUGGUCUCUGUGUCAACAGCGGUAGAAGUGACACAGUGUCAGUUCAGGACCUGCCCUUUAAGAGAACUGGCAGCUUCUAAUUCCUUCCUUCUGAAAUGUCAUUCUUUGCAAGCUCUGAAAUGUUGUGUAAAAAUUUGGGCCACCCUUGACCAUGAGGAGAGGCUUCAUGGACAGAAAGGAGCUCACCUUUCUCAGCAUUCCAGCUAGCUCACCUACAGCCCAGACUCCUGCGAAAAUUGUCUUGGAAGUUCUAGCCCAGUCAAGCCCUAUAGUUGACUGUAGCCUCGGAUGACAUCACAUGGACCUUCGAGAACUACACAGCUGAUCUCAAUACAACCACAGAAUUUAGAGGCCAAAGGAAAAUUUGAAGAGAAACUUCCAGAACUGUAUUAUUCCCUCCAAAAUAACAGAGGUUCAGAGAAACUGAGUGUAAAGUGCUUCAAAUAUAAUCAAACUAUCUCCAGUUGCUUGGCUUUAAUCUCAUCAUCAUAGUCAUAUCUCAUUACAAAAUGAAGCACACAGACCAGACAUAAAGAAAAUGUUAUUGGCACUCAACUGCAGUUUUUAAAUCCAGAAAUCUUAGACUACUUAUGGGCAUAAUCUUGUUAAUCUUCAUAAUAUGAUGAGGUUUUGGUCACACUGUUGAAUUCCACACCAACAUGGUGGGUAACAGAACUCUUGCUGACAAACCCAUCUCCCAGAUGGCAUUGAGGAUUGAACUAGGAAAAGGCAUGAAAUCAGGCCCUCUCUUCUUCAAGGAAGACCAUGAACCGGAGCUGUGCAGAUGCUGGGAGGGUUUUCCUACUCCUCAUUCUUCAUUUCCUGUGAUCCUCAAAUUGAUUCUCUGCAUGAAAUCCACCAACUGACACAGUAUAUCUCAAGGCCUCUCCUUUUGUCAUCUAUAAUACUCUUGUAUGGACAUGUACCUAUCUUUUAUUCUGUCCAUGUAAGGACAGUUUAACUUACCAAGCUAAUCAGGA